RNAcentral lists this ribosomal RNA (253 nucleotides) under uncultured bacterium. RNAcentral describes it as "partial 16S ribosomal RNA". It matches the Rfam family "Bacterial small subunit ribosomal RNA", at positions 524 to 776 of the family's 1533-position model. The record is from RNAcentral.
UACGGGGGGGGCAAGCGUUGUUCGGAAUUACUGGGCGUAAAGGGCUCGUAGGUGGCCAACUAAGUCAGACGUGAAAUCCCUCGGCUUAACCGGGGAACUGCGUCUGAUACUGGAUGGCUAGAGUUUGGGAGAGGGAUGCGGAAUUCCAGGUGUAGCGGUGAAAUGCGUAGAUAUCUGGAGGAACACCGAUGGCGUAGGCAGGUCUCUGGGCCACUACUGACGCUGAGAAGCGAAAGCAUGGGGAGCGAACAGG